UACGUAGGGUGCAAGCGCUAAUCGGAAUUACUGGGCGUAAAGCGUGCGCAGGCGGUUUUGUAAGUCUGUCGUGAAAGCCCCGGGCUCAACCUGGGAAUUGCGAUGGAGACUGCAAGGCUUGAAUCUGGCAGAGGGGGGUAGAAUUCCACGUGUAGCAGUGAAAUGCGUAGAGAUGUGGAGGAACACCGAUGGCGAAGGCAGCCCCCUGGGUCAAGAUUGACGCUCAUGCACGAAAGCGUGGGGAGCAAACAGG
Molecule: ribosomal RNA, 253 nt
Filed under: uncultured bacterium
Lineage: Bacteria
Description: partial 16S ribosomal RNA
Rfam family: Bacterial small subunit ribosomal RNA
Source: RNAcentral